GGACGAACGCUGGCGGCGUGCUUAACACAUGCAAGUCGAACGGAAAGGCCCUGCUUUUGUGGGGUGCUCGAGUGGCGAACGGGUGAGUAACACGUGAGUAACCUGCCCUUGACUUUGGGAUAACUUCAGGAAACUGGGGCUAAUACCGGAUAGGAGCUCCUGCUGCAUGGUGGGGGUUGGAAAGUUUCGGCGGUUGGGGAUGGACUCGCGGCUUAUCAGCUUGUUGGUGGGGUAGUGGCUUACCAAGGCUUUGACGGGUAGCCGGCCUGAGAGGGUGACCGGCCACAUUGGGACUGAGAUACGGCCCAGACUCCUACGGGAGGCAGCAGUGGGGAAUAUUGCACAAUGGGCGGAAGCCUGAUGCAGCAACGCCGCGUGCGGGAUGACGGCCUUCGGGUUGUAAACCGCUUUCGCCUGCGACGAAGCGUGAGUGACGGUAAUGGGUAAAGAAGCACCGGCUAACUACGUG
This 469-nucleotide ribosomal RNA is filed under the name uncultured bacterium. RNAcentral's name for it is "partial 16S ribosomal RNA". It matches the Rfam family "Bacterial small subunit ribosomal RNA", at positions 27 to 507 of the family's 1533-position model. The record is from RNAcentral.